RNAcentral lists this ribosomal RNA (241 nucleotides) under uncultured bacterium. Its description in RNAcentral is "partial 16S ribosomal RNA". It matches the Rfam family "Bacterial small subunit ribosomal RNA", at positions 95 to 334 of the family's 1533-position model. The record is from RNAcentral.
CCGGCGCACGGGUGAGUAACACGUAUCCAACCUGCCGUCUACUCUUGGCCAGCCUUCUGAAAGGAAGAUUAAUCCAGGAUGGCAUCAUGAGUUCACAUGUCCGCAUGAUUAAAGGUAUUUUCCGGUAGACGAUGGGGAUGCGUUCCAUUAGAUAGUAGGCGGGGUAACGGCCCACCUAGUUAACGAUGGAUAGGGGUUCUGAGAGGAAGGUCCCCCACAUUGGAACUGAGACACGGUCCAA